RNAcentral lists this ribosomal RNA (447 nucleotides) under uncultured bacterium. RNAcentral describes it as "bacterial SSU rRNA". It matches the Rfam family "Bacterial small subunit ribosomal RNA", at positions 329 to 792 of the family's 1533-position model. The record is from RNAcentral.
GGCCAGACUCCUACGGGAGGCAGCAGUGGGGAAUAUUGCACAAUGGGGGAAACCCUGAUGCAGCGACGCCGCGUGAGUGAAGAAGUAUUUCGGUAUGUAAAGCUCUCUCAGCAGGGAAGAUAAUGACGGUACCUGACUAAGAAGCCCCGGCUAACUACGUGCCAGCAGCCGCGGUAAUACGUAGGGGGCAAGCGUUAUCCGGAUUUACUGGGUGUAAAGGGAGCGUAGGUGGCAGGGCAAGUCAGAUGUGAAAACCCGGGGCUCAACCCCGGGACUGCAUUGGGAACUGCCCCGCUCGAGUGCCGGAGGGGCAGGCGGAAUUCCUAGUGUAGCGGUGAAAUGCGUAGAUAUUAGGAGGAACACCAGUGGCGAAGGCGGCCUGCUGGACGGUGUACUGACGCUGAGGCUCGAAAGCGUGGGGAGCAAACAGGAUUAGAUACCCUAGUA